This 997-nucleotide ribosomal RNA is filed under the name Neosetophoma camporesii. Its description in RNAcentral is "SSU rRNA". It matches the Rfam family "Eukaryotic small subunit ribosomal RNA", at positions 95 to 1102 of the family's 1831-position model. Lineage: Eukaryota; Fungi; Ascomycota; Dothideomycetes; Pleosporales; Phaeosphaeriaceae. The record is from RNAcentral.
GGCUCAUUAAAUCAGUUAUCGUUUAUUUGAUAGUACCUUACUACUUGGAUAACCGUGGUAAUUCUAGAGCUAAUACAUGCUGAAAACCCCAACUUCGGGAGGGGUGUAUUUAUUAGAUAAAAAACCAACGCCCUUCGGGGCUUCUUGGUGAUUCAUGAUAACUUUACGGAUCGCAUGGCCUUGCGCCGGCGACGGUUCAUUCAAAUUUCUGCCCUAUCAACUUUCGAUGGUAAGGUAUUGGCUUACCAUGGUUUCAACGGGUAACGGGGAAUUAGGGUUCGAUUCCGGAGAGGGAGCCUGAGAAACGGCUACCACAUCCAAGGAAGGCAGCAGGCGCGCAAAUUACCCAAUCCCGACACGGGGAGGUAGUGACAAUAAAUACUGAUACAGGGCUCUUUUGGGUCUUGUAAUUGGAAUGAGUACAAUUUAAACCUCUUAACGAGGAACAAUUGGAGGGCAAGUCUGGUGCCAGCAGCCGCGGUAAUUCCAGCUCCAAUAGCGUAUAUUAAAGUUGUUGCAGUUAAAAAGCUCGUAGUUGAAACUUGGGUCUGGCUGGCAGGUCCGCCUCACCGCGUGUACUUGUCCGGCCGGGCCUUCCUUCUGGAGAACCUCAUGCCCUUCACUGGGCGUGUUGGGGACCAGGACUUUUACUUUGAAAAAAUUAGAGUGUUCAAAGCAGGCCUUUGCUCGAAUACGUUAGCAUGGAAUAAUAGAAUAGGACGUGCGGUCCUAUUUUGUUGGUUUCUAGGACCGCCGUAAUGAUUAAUAGGGACAGUCGGGGGCAUCAGUAUUCAAUUGUCAGAGGUGAAAUUCUUGGAUUUAUUGAAGACUAACUACUGCGAAAGCAUUUGCCAAGGAUGUUUUCAUUAAUCAGUGAACGAAAGUUAGGGGAUCGAAGACGAUCAGAUACCGUCGUAGUCUUAACCGUAAACUAUGCCGACUAGGGAUCGGGCGAUGUUCUUUUUCUGACUCGCUCGGCACCUUACGAGAAAUCAAA